UCAGCCAGACGUUUUCGUUUCUGCUUCUGCUGAAGGUCAUCCAGACACCUCAGCUUAGGACCACCUCUUGGCCAUCCACCUGAACUCUGUUUUUGUUUUGGUUCUUGCUGUCUCAUAUUCCUCCUGAUUAGUUCCUCUCUUAGUUCAUUGGUCCGCACUCCAUUUCACUCAGUAUUUAAGCUCUCUGGUUUUCAUUGUUCUCCACCAGUUUCUACUGAUGUCAACCCUGUUAUCAUCCCUGGAUGUUUCCUUGUUCUUGUCCUGCCUUGAAUCAUUUCCAGCCAGUCUGUAACUCUUUUGUUUACCAUUACUAAAACUACACAAGAGUACCAUGCUGCUACAUUGCUCGUUCCUGCACGUUGUUCCUACAACAACCUCACACAGCCCGACACUACAGUAAUACAAGAAAAGAGUACAAUACGAAGACAGCAACUACAAUCAUAAUACAAUAAAAAUUGUAAAAUGCCAACAAUAAAAAACAGCAGCAAUAUUCACAAUACAAUCAAAUCUGUCCAAUACAAAAUCAGAAAAAACAAUAAAAUUAAAACAAUACUUAAAACAGCAACAACAGUAAUACAGUAAAAACAGAACAAUACAAAAAUGGCCCAACAAUCAAAGUACAAAAAAACAGCAGUACCAAUCACAGUACAAUCAAAACUGUACAAUACACAAUCCGAAA
Molecule: long non-coding RNA, 679 nt
Organism: Girardinichthys multiradiatus
Lineage: Eukaryota; Metazoa; Chordata; Actinopteri; Cyprinodontiformes; Goodeidae
Exons: 2
Source: RefSeq, a predicted model, not a curated record